RNAcentral lists this ribosomal RNA (662 nucleotides) under uncultured archaeon. Its description in RNAcentral is "bacterial SSU rRNA". It matches the Rfam family "Archaeal small subunit ribosomal RNA", at positions 261 to 922 of the family's 1478-position model. The record is from RNAcentral.
CGACGGGUAGCGGGUUGUGAGAGCAAGAGCCCGGAGAUGGAUUCUGAGACACGAAUCCAGGCCCUACGGGGUGCAGCAGGCGCGAAAACUUUACAAUGCUGGCAACAGCGAUAAGGGAACCUCGAGUGCCAGGUUACAAAUCUGGCUGUCGAGAUGCCUAAAAAGCAUUUCAUAGCAAGGGCCGGGCAAGACCGGUGCCAGCCGCCGCGGUAACACCGGCGGCUCGAGUGGUAACCGUUAUUAUUGGGUCUAAAGGGUCUGUAGCCGGCCGGAUAAGUCUCUUGAGAAAUCUGGCAGCUUAACUGUCAGGCUUUCAGGAGAUACUGUCUGGCUCGAGGCCAGGAGAGGUGAGAGGUACUUCAGGGGUAGGGGUGAAAUCUUGUAAUCCUUGAAGGACCACCAGUGGCGAAGGCGUCUCACCAGAACGGACCUGACGGCAAGGGACGAAAGCUAGGGGCACGAACCGGAUUAGAUACCCGGGUAGUCCUAGCCGUAAACGAUACUCGCUAGGUGUCGGCCACGGUGCGACCGUUGUCGGUGCCGUAGGGAAGCCGUGAAGCGAGCCACCUGGGAAGUACGGCCGCAAGGCUGAAACUUAAAGGAAUUGGCGGGGGAGCACCACAACGGGUGGAGCUUGCGGUUUAAUUGGAUUCAACGCCGGG